This 428-nucleotide ribosomal RNA is filed under the name uncultured bacterium. RNAcentral's name for it is "partial 16S ribosomal RNA". It matches the Rfam family "Bacterial small subunit ribosomal RNA", at positions 354 to 796 of the family's 1533-position model. The record is from RNAcentral.
GUGGGGAAUAUUGGGCAAUGGGCGCAAGCCUGACCCAGCAACGCCGCGUGAAGGAAGAAGGCUUUCGGGUUGUAAACUUCUUUUACCAGGGACGAAACAAAUGACGGUACCUGGUGAAUAAGCCACGGCUAACUACGUGCCAGCAGCUGCGGUAAUACGUAGGUGGCGAGCGUUAUCCGGAUUUAUUGGGUGUAAAGGGCGUGUAGGCGGGACAGCAAGUCAGAUGUGAAAACCAGAGGCUCAACCUCUGGCCUGCAUUUGAAACUGUUGUUCUUGAGUGUCGGAGAGGUAAUCGGAAUUCCGUGUGUAGCGGUGAAAUGCGUAGAUAUACGGAGGAACACCAGUGGCGAAGGUGGAUUACUGGACGAUAACUGACGCUGAGGCGCGAAAGCGUGGGGAGCAAACAGGAUUAGAAACCCGGGUAGUCC